UACGAAGGGGGCUAGCGUUGCUCGGAAUCACUGGGCGUAAAGGGCGCGUAGGCGGCGUUGUAAGUCGGGGGUGAAAGCCUGUGGCUCAACCACAGAAUUGCCUUCGAUACUGCAUGGCUUGAGACCGGAAGAGGUAAGUGGAACUGCGAGUGUAGAGGUGAAAUUCGUAGAUAUUCGCAAGAACACCAGUGGCGAAGGCGGCUCACUGGCCCGAUACUGACGCUGAGGUGCGAAAGCGUGGGGAGCAAACAGG
This 253-nucleotide ribosomal RNA is filed under the name uncultured bacterium. RNAcentral describes it as "partial 16S ribosomal RNA". It matches the Rfam family "Bacterial small subunit ribosomal RNA", at positions 524 to 776 of the family's 1533-position model. The record is from RNAcentral.